GACGAACGCUGGCGGCGUGCUUAACACAUGCAAGUCGUACGGUAAGGCCCUUUCGGGGGUACACGAGUGGCGAACGGGUGAGUAACACGUGAGUAACCUGCCCACAACUUUGGGAUAACGCUAGGAAACUGGUGCUAAUACUGGAUAUGUGCUCCUGCUGCAUGGUGGGGGUUGGAAAGCUCCGGCGGUUGUGGAUGGACUCGCGGCCUAUCAGCUUGUUGGUGGGGUAGUGGCCUACCAAGGCGGCGACGGGUAGCCGGCCUGAGAGGGUGACCGGCCACAUUGGGACUGAGAUACGGCCCAGACUCCUACGGGAGGCAGUAGUGGGGAAUAUUGCACAAUGGGCGCAAGCCUGAUGCAGCAACGCCGCGUGCGGGAUGACGGCCUUCGGGUUGUAAACCGCGUUCAGCAGGGACGAAGCUUUUUGUGACGGUACCUGCAGAAGAAGCACCGGCUAACUACGUG
RNAcentral lists this ribosomal RNA (465 nucleotides) under uncultured bacterium. RNAcentral describes it as "partial 16S ribosomal RNA". It matches the Rfam family "Bacterial small subunit ribosomal RNA", at positions 28 to 507 of the family's 1533-position model. The record is from RNAcentral.